This 650-nucleotide ribosomal RNA is filed under the name bacterium. Its description in RNAcentral is "bacterial SSU rRNA". It matches the Rfam family "Bacterial small subunit ribosomal RNA", at positions 44 to 681 of the family's 1533-position model. The record is from RNAcentral.
GGGCCUGUAUGUAACUGUGCGAUCCGCUCUUAUAACCCCCCGGCGGGCCUGAGUGGCGAGUGGGGAACGGGUGAGUAAUACAUCGGAACGUGCCCAUGUCGUGGGGGAUAACGUAGCGAAAGCUACGCUAAUACCGCAUACGAUCUACGGAUGAAAGCGGGGGAUCGCAAGACCUCGCGCGAUUGGAGCGGCCGAUGGCAGAUUAGGUAGUUGGUGGGGUAAAGGCCCACCAAGCCUGCGAUCUGUAGCUGGUCUGAGAGGACGACCAGCCACACUGGGACUGAGACACGGCCCAGACUCCUACGGGAGGCAGCAGUGGGGAAUUUUGGACAAUGGGCGAAAGCCUGAUCCAGCCAUUCCGCGUGCAGGAUGAAGGCCCUCGGGUUGUAAACUGCUUUUGUACGGAACGAAAAGGCCUUGGUUAAUACCUGGGGCUCAUGACGGUACCGUAAGAAUAAGCACCGGCUAACUACGUGCCAGCAGCCGCGGUAAUACGUAGGGUGCGAGCGUUAAUCGGAAUUACUGGGCGUAAAGCGUGCGCAGGCGGUGAUGUAAGACAGAGGUGAAAUCCCCGGGCUCAACCUGGGAACUGCCUUUGUGACUGCAUCGCUGGAGUGCGGCAGAGGGGGAUGGAAUUCCGCGUGUAGCAG